This 468-nucleotide ribosomal RNA is filed under the name uncultured bacterium. RNAcentral describes it as "partial 16S ribosomal RNA". It matches the Rfam family "Bacterial small subunit ribosomal RNA", at positions 28 to 507 of the family's 1533-position model. The record is from RNAcentral.
GACGAACGCUGGCGGCGUGCUUAACACAUGCAAGUCGAACGGAAAGGCCCUGCUUUUGCGGCGUGCUCGAUAGGCGAACGCGUGAGUAACACGUGAGUAACCUGCACUUGACUUUGGGAUAACUUCAGGAAACUGGGGCUAAUACCGGAUAGGAUCUCCUGCUGCAUGGUGGGGGUUGGAAAGUUUCGGCGGUUGGGGAUGGACUCGCGGCUUAUCAGCUUGUUUGUGAGGUAGUGGCUGACCAAGGCUUUGACGGGUAGCCGGCCUGAGAGGGUGACCGGCCACAAUGGGACUGAGAUACGGAGCAGACUCCUACGGGAGGCAGAAGUGGGGAGUAUUGCACAGUGGGCGGGAGCCUGAUGCAGCAACGCCGGGUGCGUGAUACCGGCCUUCGGGUUGUAAACAAAUUUGGACGGUGCUGUGGAGUGAGUGACGGUACUGGGUAAAGAAGCACCGGCUAACUACGUG